Molecule: non-coding RNA, 705 nt
Organism: Aegilops tauschii subsp. strangulata
Lineage: Eukaryota; Viridiplantae; Streptophyta; Magnoliopsida; Poales; Poaceae
Source: RefSeq, a predicted model, not a curated record
GUGUACAUUUUGGACCCUACUCCUAUUAAUCCAAUGUACCGAUACAACCCACUCGCAAAAUAUGUGAAAAAAAUUAUAUGGAUUUCCGAACAUUUACCGAAAGCAAUGUCAAAAGCAUGCCCUGGGUCUAGAUGGAACGAGGAUAUUCUCUUAUGGCAUCAUAGAAUCCUAGAUGAUAUUCCAGUUUACAACAGGGAACUGUCUGGUUAUCUUGUUCCCCUAUUCAUGUCCACAUGGGAAGACGAAAGACCACAUUUGCCAUUUUUAAAGGAUGGAUAUGAACUCAGAAAACUAAUUUUGGGCCAACUACUAACAUUCAAGGACAAUGAAUGUGAAGAUAACAUGACUGCUGGUGUACUGGACUUCAUCAAUUGUAUUAGGAAAAUCCAAAGUUAAACGGGGAGCUCAAUCGGUGGAAGGUAAUUUGUCAGAGAGAUUUCUUGCAGCCAACAGUUAAUAGACAAUGAGCAGGGAGACGAUGAACAUGUAGAGAUGCAACAUGAACAACAAUUAAUGAUGUACCUUCAUCUGCAUGAAGAACGAAGAUUUUUCAUGAUUUUAUAUAUCCUAGAACAUUUUCUGGUUGAUUAUACUUGGUUGUCGUAUCAAUUUAUAGUGUUCGAUUGUUAGAUUUUGUUUAGUAACCACUACUUGCUAGAGAGAAGGGAAGGGACGUGUAUUCAGUGAUUACUUCAUGUCGCUAGA